GACGAACCGUACGAACGUUAUUCGGAAUUACUGGGCUUAAAGGGCUCGUAGGCGGCCAACUAAGUCGGACGUGAAAUCCCCAGGCUCAACCUGGGAACUGCGUCCGAUACUGGAUGGCUUGAAUCCGGGAGAGGGAUGCAGAAUUCCAGGUGUAGCGGUGAAAUGCGUAGAUAUCUGGAGGAAUACCGGUGGCGAAGGCGGCAUCCUGGACCGGCAUUGACGCUGAGGAGCGAAAGCCAGGGGAGCAAACGGG
RNAcentral lists this ribosomal RNA (253 nucleotides) under uncultured bacterium. RNAcentral's name for it is "partial 16S ribosomal RNA". It matches the Rfam family "Bacterial small subunit ribosomal RNA", at positions 524 to 776 of the family's 1533-position model. The record is from RNAcentral.